Long non-coding RNA from Oryzias melastigma (Indian medaka), 371 nucleotides. RefSeq lists it as uncharacterized. The transcript has 2 exons. The record is from RefSeq and is a predicted model, not a curated record. Lineage: Eukaryota; Metazoa; Chordata; Actinopteri; Beloniformes; Adrianichthyidae.
AUUGGUUACCAUGACGAUGCAAGCUGACUGCUCCUGCCAAACCAUCCUCCAGAAGUCGUAGACGGUCUCGUGGACUGGACCUGAACUCAAACACGAGAGGAACAAAAAAAUGUAUUAAAAAACUGCUGAUGAUGAAGAUGAGGAGAGCCCCGUUCAUGCAGCAGACGCCCCAACGACUGAAUGGUUUGCAUCAACACUUUGUGUGUGAGGACGGACACGCGGACGGACGUGAAGGGCGAGAAUGGUGGAUUCUACGGUGAUACUUACAUCCCUGUACAGCCAAAUCUACAGCGCAAGUCACAGGCAGAAAGAACCAGCGGAAGGAGGAAAGAAAGCACAACAAUGUCAGUGAGGGUCAAUCAGGAAAAAAA